GGAGACGACUUAGGGUUACUUUAGCCCUAUCUACUUUCUUGAAUACUACUAGGCAAUACUGAAGUUGCUUUGAAAAGUAGUAUUAAUUUGAUAGCUUCAACGACAGCUUAUCAAAUUUGAACUACGGUAAGUAUUUUGAAUAUUUUGAUUCUCAUUUUUAUUUUUUUUUUGUUUUAUUUUCCUAACGCAUAUACAUUUAAUUUAGUUUGAGUUAUUUUGUAGCAUUUAGUUAUUCUUCAGAAAAACUCUUUGUUCUUGCUUUAAUUAAGAAUUUCUCUUGAGAAACACUUAAAGCUAGUUUGAAUAUACUCUGGCUAGGAAAGACUUGGUACUUAAGUUGUCCAUUGUGACACACCUCUCUUUCCUGGGAGUGGACCCAAACAAAGUAUUUCUCAUAUCUCAUUUGAAAUCUUU
RNAcentral lists this long non-coding RNA (414 nucleotides) under Vigna radiata. RNAcentral's name for it is "long non-coding RNA (VRAD_LNC014272)". The record is from RNAcentral. Lineage: Eukaryota; Viridiplantae; Streptophyta; Magnoliopsida; Fabales; Fabaceae.